CACAGCAAAUGCCAAAGUGUUAAAAUCCCAGAGUAUUCAUGACCAGAGUAGAUUUUAUACACUUUGGUGUUGAAUAGGCACUAAGUACAUUUUUUGGGGUGUACCAGAAACACUCUUGGGUGUUGUCUCUAAGUUAAUGCUGGUGUAGAGUAAUUUAAGUGUUUAUUUUAGGAUGAUGGACUCCCUGAGUGUCCAACGGUUGAUUGACGGCCGCACGUCGGCUUAGGUUUCGAUUCGUCAUUGGCUCGCUGCGCCUCCUCAUUGGUUGAAUCUAGAGACAUGUGACCGUUUGUCCUCUUCCACACUACGCGGCAAACUGUUUCGGCAGAGACGAUUGACUAGAGAGGAUCGAAUCAAUAUCGCCAAGGGAUUGCUCAGAGUGAGCGAAGACAUUUUUGAACUUCACGGGAAUGUAAACAGGUUGGGAUAGUGACAUGGCCUCACUUCUCCUGCUGGUCUACCUCCUGCCACCACCUCCAAGUGGAAAGAAGGGAGCUGUCAAAAUCAGUAUCCGGGAAGCUGUGGAUCGUGUAGUGAAGUUUCACAGGGUAAUUGUAUCCUGAUAAUUUUUAUUUUAAAAGGUAUUUUUAAAGGUCCCAUGGCAUGCCGCCAGAGCUUGUGUGUUGCUGAUGGAUGUCACAAUCUCUGUGUUGGUCAAUCUACUUAUCGAGUCUUGAAAACAAUGGCGUCGACGGGUGAUCUACUGAUGGUAUUGUGUGUAUAAAAUGUACUUUUUAAUAAACAAUCUGUACACUUACAAAGUUCUCAUUGCCUCGUUUUAUAUGUUAAUACCCUUAUUGAACUACCAAAGAAGUGUCGGGCUACUUCUAGCCUUUUAAAUGGUUUAAAAUAGCAAUUUAGUUUUUACCAUAACCACUGCCCCCAUUGUUUCAAUUUUAUAGCGUUUUGAUAGAAUCGGCUAAAAACAGCCAACUGAAGAAAGCGUCUAUAUGCGUUUUUUUGUGCUCCUAAACGAACGUUUCAACUCAUUAUCAUACUAAACAUAUCCCAAAUCCGUUUUACACCGGAAUUCCCCUUUAAUUGGUUGACAGGGACACAUUUAUUUAUUUUCAAGUUGUUUGUUACAUCAUAUAAAUGUAAAACUAAAUAUGGUUCUUGAUGUAAAAUAAUUAAAGUUUAACUAUAAUGUUAACUAUAUUAUAUAUGUAUGCACUGUAACAACAGCAGCAUCAAUAAAAAUAUAAUGUUUUCAAGAAUCUAAUGUGUAGACUAUUCAUUCAUGAAGUGUUGAUAAUUCACCUCAAAGGUGUUGGCUGUACACCAGUCAGAGUACAUUCUCACUCUAGAAGUAUUAAAUAAUCAGCUCUGCGAAGUGCUACAAAGCACUGACUUGGAGUACAUAUUUUCUCUCUCUGGGGUUCUAGGUUUACACUGCAGGUGUAAGGAAGCACUGAAUGAGUGCCCAAAAGUACCACUAAUAGAGUACAUUUGCACUCUCAAAGUGUUCAAAUGUAACUCUAAAUUUGGAGUACAUAUUUUGCUCUUCUAACAGUGUUCAGUGAACACUGAACUCUUGGACCUAUAUAUACCCAAAAAUGAGUGUUAAAUGUACACCCAUAGAGUACAAUGUACACUGUGAUUUUUGCUGUG
Molecule: long non-coding RNA, 1611 nt
Organism: Gadus macrocephalus (Pacific cod)
Lineage: Eukaryota; Metazoa; Chordata; Actinopteri; Gadiformes; Gadidae
Exons: 2
Source: RefSeq, a predicted model, not a curated record